This 408-nucleotide ribosomal RNA is filed under the name uncultured bacterium. RNAcentral's name for it is "partial 16S ribosomal RNA". It matches the Rfam family "Bacterial small subunit ribosomal RNA", at positions 28 to 526 of the family's 1533-position model. The record is from RNAcentral.
GACGAACGCUGGCGGCGUGCCUAAUACAUGCAAGUCGAGCGAAGCGGCGGAUGGGUGAGUAACGCGUGGGUAACCUGCCCUUAAGUCGGGGAUACAAUUUGGAAACAGAUGCUAAUACCGGAUACUAAAGGAUGGACCGGCGAUGCAUUAGCUAGUUGGUAAGGUAACGGCUUACCAAGGCGAUGAUGCAUAGCCCAUUUGAGAGACUGUUCGGCCCCAUUGGGACUGAGACACGGCCCAAACUCCUACGUGAGGCAGCAGUAGGGAAUCUUCCACAAUGGACGAAAGCCUGAUGGAGCAACGCCGCUUGAGUGAAGAAGGUUUUCGGAUCGUAAAGCUCUUUUGUUUGUGAAGCGUUAUUCACCCAGAAAGUCACGGCUAACUCCGUGCCAGCCGCCGCGGUAAUUC